This 91-nucleotide microRNA precursor is filed under the name Eurypyga helias (sunbittern). Its description in RNAcentral is "mir-7 microRNA precursor family". It matches the Rfam family "mir-7 microRNA precursor family". From Rfam's summary of the family: This family represents the microRNA (miRNA) precursor mir-7. Lineage: Eukaryota; Metazoa; Chordata; Aves; Eurypygiformes; Eurypygidae. The record is from Rfam by way of RNAcentral.
UGGUCUAGUUCUGUGUGGAAGACUAGUGAUUUUGUUGUUUUUAGAUAACUGAAUUGACAACAAAUCACAGUCUGCCAUAUGGCACAGACCA